GCGGGUAUAGCUCAGGGGUAGAGUGUAUGCUUAGCAUGCACAAGGUCCUGGGUUCAAUCCCCAGUGCGUCCA
RNAcentral lists this transfer RNA (72 nucleotides) under Camelus dromedarius (Arabian camel). It matches the Rfam family "tRNA". From Rfam's summary of the family: Transfer RNA (tRNA) molecules are approximately 80 nucleotides in length. RNAcentral also lists the same sequence under 1 other name. The record is from Rfam by way of RNAcentral. Lineage: Eukaryota; Metazoa; Chordata; Mammalia; Artiodactyla; Camelidae.